AUUCCACAAACUCUCUCUCUUCCUUUAAAUGAAAAAGAAAUAGAGACUUUAUUGGAUGCUCAUUCUCUUCUCGUUGAAACUACCCAUUCUCUCAAUUAUUCCACAACCAAGUUUUCACUUUCUAAAGCCUCUCUCUUCUUACUUCUCUUGCUUUUGUUCUUGCUCUGGUCGUUGUAAGAAGAUAUGCAUGACUGGGCAGCACCGUUGAUUGCUUCUGCUCUAUUUGCGUUUCUAUCGCCAGGGCUCAUACUGCAGUUUCCUGGGAAAGAAUCUCCGGUGGGCUUCAUGAACAUGAAGACAACGGUAGCUUCUAUUUUCGUCCACACCGUUCUUUACGGUCUCUUUCUCAUCCUCUUCCUAGUCGUUCUCAACGUCCAUGUUUAUGCUUAGCUUAAGCUCAAAAUAUUACACUUUGUGCUAGCCUCUGUUUGUGCUAGAUGGGUUUAGUAGUGGAGCUUUGUUUUAUGACUUGUCUUACUUCUUUCUUUGUUCCUUCUUUUUAAUUACUGAUCUAAAGAGAAAAGUUAUUACCAAUUUUGCUUUAGUAUUAUUCAUUAUAUGUGGCCAUAUCUGUGUAUUUGUGAGAAAAUUCCGAGUGAAUUGAGCUUAAGCUGUGGAAACAUGGCUUAACUCUUAAGGAUAACACAAAUGAUCCAUAUGCUAGAAUAAAAAUGGAUAAGAUAAAUAAAGUUGAUCGAACAACUUGAAGUAAAAGGCUACACUUGCUAUACAAAAAUUAUUUUUUUGGGUUUGAAUAAGUUUUGCUUUCAAUUCAAAAAUAAAAUGAUAUCUUAAUUUUACAACUCCUAUCAAAUAAACAAAAUUUAUAUGAUAUUAAGUGCAAUGAAUUCAUAGUAAGGGCAUUAAGUAAAAUAUGCCAAACCUUUGGGCUUAAAAAACCAGUCAGUUUGGUCUAAGAAGGCCUUCUUGAUGUAUGUAGAAGCUGUAUUGUUACAGUUCCAUGUUGGGAAAUCAAUUACACCCUCGUUGAAUCCAUAGCAAGUGACAUUACUAAAAAUGAUACACUCCUUUUCAAAAUGUUACAUGUUUUAGCCUUUUUACAUAGAUUAAUAAAAUAUAUUAAAUUUAAGUUAAAUGCAUAAUUUUGUAAUUAUUUAUUUUUUAUGAUUCUAAACCAAUAAAAAUUCAGUAAAUACAAUUAAUAUUCUUGAAGUUUACAAUUAAUUAUUAUUAGGAUAAAAAGGAUAUCUAUUUUAUUUAUAUAAAGUUGAGUUACCUCCCUCCUGGUGAUGUCACCUCGGAUUCCAGCCUGGAAACUCGUGCGUCCAGAGCGUGACACAUGUCGGGGAUUAAUGAAACGCAGCUUGCUGGGCGUGCGUGUUCUGUCCGGAUUUCAUUUGGGCUUCGCAUCGCUUAUAUCUUCACGGCCCAUCUAGCACACCGGUCGAACGAGACCCUAAUCAGAUGAGGUUCGCUCAUUCGUCGUCUCCUCUCCUCUUCGGUCGGCGACGAGACGAUACAGCUUCCGUAACGGUGAGCGUUGAGCUUUAAUCGUCUUAAAUCGUCUUAAAUCGUCUUAACCUUCUUCGUGGCAGUGAGAAUUCUCACCUAUAAAAAGGUGCGGCUGAUUAGAUUCUGUGAAGCCAGAAACUUUAAAGGUGGUGGCGAGUCGAUGUGUGUGACUGUGAUAUGCUUCUCUUUAACGCUAAGGUUGUUCCUUUCUUUAAACUCAUUAUCAUCUUAAUUUAAAACAGAUUCAGGCAUAAAAAAUCUAAAGAAAAUUAUAAAUUUUCAGUCAAAAUAUUUAUUUCACUCUUUCGUAGAUAGUUUCAGUUCCCUUUGUUGAUUUCAGAAACUGGGUUUAUUUACAGUUCUUAUAAAUAUUACCGGCAGACUGAAACUGAUUUUAAUAUGGCAUUGAAUCCUUCACGUGUUUUGAAUGACAUGGACAGCGAUGAUGAGCAGUUCCUUGCAAGAAUUCCUGGGUAUUUCGAUGCUGAGAAUAGUGCUUCUUAUGAGAUCACUGAGGACAUGUUUGAGAAGGCUUCGUAUGUAAAACAACUUGAUCACUUUACCUUAGUCGAAAUUCAAGAAAUGAUGGUCGGAGUUAGAUCCUUGGAACCAAUUUGGAGAACCAAGAGGCAGAGCAAGAGAAUGCCACUAAUCAGGCAUCUUCAGCAGGAGGGCAAUGAUGAUGAUUGAGAUGCCUGGAACGUAUCAGGGCCUACUAAGGCUGAUGUUGGUGGUAAUGAUCGUGAGGAAUCACCAACUAUAGGAACAGCAGCACCGUCAUCUUCCAAGGUUGUCAAGAAGGCCUGAAUUGUAUAGGUGAAGAUCAUGAAGCACUUGGACGCAAUAUUUGCUAUUUGAAUAAUGCCAAGGCACCAUUUUUGUUUCCUUCUGCAGUUUGCUAUGUUUUUCCAGACAGUCUUCAAAAGUUCUGAUUCAGUUUGAACUAAUAUAAAGAUAUUUAUCACA
Raphanus sativus (radish) is the source of this 2439-nucleotide long non-coding RNA. RefSeq lists it as uncharacterized. The record is from RefSeq and is a predicted model, not a curated record. NCBI's taxonomy places the organism in Eukaryota, Viridiplantae, Streptophyta, Magnoliopsida, Brassicales, Brassicaceae. The transcript has 3 exons.